AGCAGCCGCGGUAAUUCCAGCUCCAAUAGCGUAUAUUAAAGUUGUUGCAGUUAAAAAGCUCGUAGUUGAAUUUCGGGGUUAGUAAGUUGGUCAUGCCUUUGGUAUGCACUGGCUUUACUGAUUCCUCCUUCUUGACGAACCGUGAUGUCAUUAAUUUGGUGUUGCGGGAAAUCAGGACUGUUACUUUGAAAAAAUUAGAGUGUUUAAAGCAGGCUAACGCUUGAAUACAUUAGCAUGGAAUAAUGAAAUAGGACGUUAAUCCUAUUUUGUUGGUUUCUAGGAUCGACGUAAUGAUUAAUAGGGAUAGUUGGGGGCAUUAGUAUUCAAUUGUCAGAGGUGAAAUUCUUGGAUUUAUUGAAGACUAACUACUGCGAAAGCAUUUGCCAAGGAUGUUUUCAUUAAUCAAGAACGAAAGUUAGGGGAUCGAAGACGAUCAGAUACCGUCGUAGUCUUAACCAUAAACUAUGCCGACUAGGGAUCGGAUGAUGUUAAUUUUUUAAUGACUCAUUCGGCGCCUUAC
Molecule: ribosomal RNA, 520 nt
Filed under: uncultured Glomus
Lineage: Eukaryota; Fungi; Glomeromycota; Glomeromycetes; Glomerales; Glomeraceae
Description: SSU rRNA
Rfam family: Eukaryotic small subunit ribosomal RNA
Source: RNAcentral